ACGUGCAACUGGCGGAUAAGUGGUGAAACCACAGGGAGCACGUUUGAUAUGGAGCCGACCGCCUGGGCAUCUC
This 73-nucleotide non-coding RNA is filed under the name human gut metagenome. RNAcentral describes it as "ZMP/ZTP riboswitch". It matches the Rfam family "ZMP/ZTP riboswitch aptamer (pfl RNA motif)", at positions 7 to 82 of the family's 86-position model. Rfam says of the family: Previously known as pfl RNA. ZMP is also known as AICAR. The record is from RNAcentral.